CCCUUAGAUGUUCUGGGCCGCACGCGUGCUACACUGAACGGUUCAAUGGGUAAGGUAGUGCGAAAGCAUGACCUAAUCUCGAAAUCCGUUCGUGCUGGGGAUAGAAGCUUGCAAUUAUCCUUCUUGAACGAGGAAUACCUUGUAAGCGUGAGUCAUCACCUCACGCUGAAUACGUCCCUGCCCUUUGUACACACCGCCCGUCGCUCCUACCGAUUGAGUGUUCCGGUGAGGCUUUGGGAGAAUGGCCUCAACAUGAGUUUAUCGUGUUUUGCCGUUUGAACUUAGUCAAACCUUAUCACUUAGAGGAAGGAGAAGUCGUAACA
This 323-nucleotide ribosomal RNA is filed under the name uncultured eukaryote. Its description in RNAcentral is "partial 18S ribosomal RNA". It matches the Rfam family "Eukaryotic small subunit ribosomal RNA", at positions 1470 to 1796 of the family's 1831-position model. The record is from RNAcentral.